This is a long non-coding RNA of Gadus macrocephalus (Pacific cod), 12269 nucleotides long. RefSeq lists it as uncharacterized. The record is from RefSeq and is a predicted model, not a curated record. The transcript has 2 exons. NCBI's taxonomy places the organism in Eukaryota, Metazoa, Chordata, Actinopteri, Gadiformes, Gadidae.
UGCAGCUAGUGUUGCAGGGUGUGUGUGUGUGUGUGUGUGUGUGUGUGUGUGUGUGUGUGUGUGUGUGUGUGUGUGUGUGUGUGUGUGUGUGUGUGUGUGUGUGUGUGUGUGUGUGUGUGUGUGUGUGUGUGUUUCUUAUGAACAAAAUAAAAAGAAAGAAAGAAAAUACAAGAAUGAAGUAGCACAAUGCAUUUUUAUGACUUGUAGAGGUAAUGCAGAUUACAAUGGUUACUGGGAAACAUUCGAUUACAAUGUGAUUUGAAACAAAUUAAGACAAGAUGAAAAUGGUAUUUAAAGGAAAACAAAAAAGCUCCAAUCAAACCAUUGAGAGCAUAAGGGUUUCCCAAAAUAGUUGUCGGUUGUUGAUGUGAAUGGCCUCAGUUUUACUGGCCAGCUACACAACGUAUAGAUGGACAAAUUUGACUUGAUUGUUUUAAUUGGUGGUCACACUGGGGUAAUUGAUAAUUCCCUCUGACCGACAUUGUGGCAGACGAACACACAGGACGUCUAACUCUGGAAAACACAACAUCAAUUACCAGCCCACGCUAAGAACAGGAGAAAAAGGAGGGAAAAAAAUGGGCACCCCAACGCUCAAAAAUACUAUAUGAUGCAAUAAAUACACAAUGAGACACAGUAGAAAACAUUCAACUGAUGCAUGCAGUUCCUGAAGGAAUGCCUGAACUGAAACGUCAGUGGGAGGAUAUUGGUGCAAAGAGCACCUUCAACCUGGGCCAGGGAGCUCUGUCAUUGGUCCGUUGGUCCAGGGAGGGCUUUCAUUGGUCCGUUAGUCCAGGGAGCUCUGUCAUUGUUCCGUUGGUCCAGGGACGGCUUUCAUUGGCCCGUAUGUCCAGGGAGGGCUGUGAUGGUCCGUUGAUCCCUAGGUUGUUGAGAGACAGCUUUACUGUAAUGUAUAGGGGGUCUCCUUGAGCUCCUGGGUUGCUGGGCCCCCCGGGGCCCUCUAGGCUGGGGUUUUGGUGUUAUGGGCUUUGGGGUCUUUUUUUUGUCUGCUCAGAAAUUCUCUGGGAGAGAGCGAGAGACCGAGAGAGCGAGAGAGCGAGAGAGCGAGAGCGAGAGAGAGAGAGAGAGCGAGAGAGAGAAAGAGAGAGCGAGCGAGAGAGCGAGAGAGAGAGAGAGAGAGCGAGAGAGCGAGAGAGAGAGAGAGAGAGAGAGAGAGAGAGAGAGCGCAUGGCAGUGAUGCGGGCAGGAGGAGAGGACAGUCUCGCUGCCAAGAUGAAUGGGGCAGUAAAACUCAAUGUGGGUUGGUGCUGGUGGUGGGGUGGAAGUAGCGUGUAGCUAGUGUCCCAGCCGGUCCCAGCAGGCCCUUGUCGCCAUAUAGAGUCAUGUUCCCCGAGUGCCGUCUCCCUCGCAGACUAAACUGUAAGACGGCGGUUAGUGCGGGCAUUAAUCAGCCCCCUCUCGCCACAGCACAACAGAACCGCCACACAGAGCUAAACAAGAGCAACUCUUCCACUGCAUCGUCUUCCCUCCCCUAACAACAGCUAGCUGUAGCCUAGCCAUUGUACAAAACACUGAACAAGACACACAAACACAGACACAGCGCCUUUUGAGUUGCUGCUUUUUCAUCCUCAUUUGGGGUCAAUACACAGCAUUUGAUAUAAUUAACAAUUAUAUUUUUACUUCAUAUAAACAUUAUAGCCUACCAUUUCUCAUGACUCGUUUUAUGUGGCUCUUUUUUUUGUUGUUAUGAACAAAACAUGUAGCCUUAAUAAAAGAAAAGGAAGAUUUUGUACCUAAAUGCAUCAUCAUACAGAUGUCAUUCACAUGUGGAGUCCUAUAGGAAAUUAUUCAGUAGAUGAUUGUGAAAUGAAAAUGGUGGCAUUAAAACCAGUUACUUUUUUCGAAAAUGCAGCUGAAGCAUGUUGCCUCUCGCUCAUACUUCAUCAAGUAGCACAGCAUGUGCUAAGCACACUCUCUCCAUCAUCCUCCGUCCUCAACCACCCACACAGCCCCCUAUCUCUAUCUGUCACACACACGCAAACACACAAACACACACGGGCACUUACACAGAGAGCAUUUGCCUUUAAUCCUCAUGCCAAUUCUUGGGAUUAACUCAUUUCCUGUGUUUCUUAAAAUUUCAGGAGAACAUUUGUCUUCCUCUUCAAGUGUGUGCUUUCGUGUGUGUGUGUGUGUGUGUGUGUGUGUGUGUGUGUGUGUGUGUGUGUGUGUGUGUGUGUGUGUGUGUGUGUGUGUGUGUGUGUGUGUGUGUGUGUGUGUGUGUUAUUGUGCAUAUUAUAUUGUCUACAUUCAUUUUAUAUUUUGUGCAUGUGAAAUGUAGCUUAUAUUGUGUGUACUGUAUCCUGUCUGAGGGAAUAUUUUUGAUACAGUAUACCUGCCUACGCAUCAAGCCUAUUUAUAUAUCUCUCUCUCUCUCUCUCUCUCUCUCUCUCUCUCUCUCUCUCUCUCUCUCUCUCUCUCUCUCUCUCUCUCUCACGCACACACUCGCACACACACACACACACACAUUUGUAUUCAAAUUCAUUUUCAAAUAAAACUGCCCAAGGACCACCAAACACACACGUACACUUUCAAAACAUACGUGUCCGCAUAAACAUGCACAGACCCCAUUCUAUUGGUGCUUCAGGAGCAUUCAUAUGCAGAUGAAUUAUGUAUUUCAUGGGAUGACAAAGGAGGUCUGUCACACGCAGCAUAAACAGGCAGGAGCUCCGCAGUAAAGCCGGUCAACAUCCAUCAUUUGCCAAGACAAAAAUAGCCCCCGCCCCAAUUUACCCCAGACAUUUCCCUGUACUCCCAACCAAUGACCACUCAGCUAGGCCCACACCUAGCACAUCAACACACAAGAGACAAGAAACUCGAGACAAUGACUUUACAUUUGUUCCUAUUUCUUUCUUGUUUGUGUUUGUUUGUCUUGCAUUCUUUUGCAUGCUUUUCUUCAUUGAUUCAUUCGCCGAUACAUUGUAAUGACCAGCUCAGCUUUCUCUAGCUGCGUUACCUUGACGUCAUACCUGUCUGUUUUACAUUCCUUUCAAGAGCCUUCCUAAAGAACCCCUUCCUGUCUCAUCGCGUAAUGUCAGAAUUUGGCGGUAACUUCACGUCAAACUAUUAGAAACAAUCUCCGUUCACCAGCCACAUAGAAGCAAGCAGCAGAUUAAAAAAUAAUGAUAACACGGAUAUUCGGGGGAACUGCGAGAGAAUGUAGUGUGAGUGACCACAAGGACAGAGCAGUGAAAAUAAAAUUGGAAAUGAAAAUCGUGAGGGAUGGCGAAUGUGCUCUGCACAUCGUGGCUUUGCUGGAGAUCGAAACUGAUUUCUAGCAAACCAGACCACUGAAAUGCCUUUUGAGAUUUCCCAUGGCUGUGGAUUAUAUUUAUGUACAUUAUUAAUCUUAUUAAUAACGAUUUAUCCCUAUGAAUCUUUUGUCCCUGGGGAGGUUAUGACUGCCUAUAUACUUCUACAGGUAUUUUCUGUUGUUUCCUAAUCAUUCACGCAUGCAGAUAGAUUGAAACAUACCCACUCACACCCUUAAUAAAUGUUAGCACAUAUUUUCCAAAUAAGUAAGCGAUAAACCGAUCCUAAUUAUGUCACACAUGAAGCUAUUCCUAUUCGACUCCCCCUCCCACACACACACACACACACACACAAACACACACACCCCUCCUGCCCUGCCCCCACACUCACACACACACACACUCCAACAGAGCAAGAGGACGGCCAUGAUGGAUGGCAGAGGAUGCUGUGUUUGGUUUAUCAACAGUUGCCAUUGCUUUGAGGGAAGAGCUGCGGAUGAUGGAGUGUGUUUGUGUGGGGAGGGGGAUUCAUAUGAAUGUGUUUGUGUGUCUGUGUGUGUGUGUGUGUGUGUGUGUGUGUGUGUGUGUGUGCAUGUGCGUGCGUGCGUGCGUGCGUGCGUGCGUGUGUGUGUGUGUUUGAGUGUGGUGCACGCUUGUGUGUGUGUAUUGAUGUGUGAGUAUUUGUAUGUGCGUAUCUGAAAAAUAGUGUGCGUGUGUGUGUGUGUGGUAGGGUUUGUGUAUGUGUGUGUGCAUUUGAGAAAUGAUGUGUGUGUGCGUCUUUGAGAGAAAGUGUGUGUUUGUGUGCGAGCACAAGUAAGACAGAGUUAUCUGUAGACUGUGUGUGUGUCGUAGAUAAAGGAAGGUAGGGCGGUGUUAAGUGCAAAGGCGUGGAGAGGCAUCUUACCAGCAACCAGCUGACAAUCUCCCCUCCCCUCCGUCCCCCCUCAUUCAACUCCCCUCGCAACAUCCCUUCCUCUCCCCCUCUCCCCCUCUCCCCUGCCCUCGCCUCCUCAUCUCCCUCCUUCACUCCCUCCUUCCAAACAGAGGAACAAGAAACAAACAAACACACACACAAACCAAAAAUGCAAAUGAAAUCAGAGAAUAAUUCUGCAUUGCUAUUUUUUUCACCAGCCCAACUUGGGAAAACAGUCCCAUGGAAUUGGACAUUUUUGUUAUUUUUGUUGUUGUCGCCCUACUUCCCACUGUUUAUUCUUCCCCUCGUCUCUUUCCGCUCUUGUUUCUGUCUCUGUCAAUCCCCCGCCCCCCUCUAAGCCGCUUUGCGGGGAUGCACACAGGAGCCACCUUAUACUGUUUUCCUUUGCAAAUUCUCUUAUAUAUUUUUUUGCCAGAGACAGCACAAUCACACGCACCUCCUCUGCUCACAAAGAGAAUACUCUGCUGGUUCUGAUUCACCCCGGCUUCCUUUUCUCCUGGUGGGAAAUAAAAAAACACACACACAGACACACACACACACACAGACACACACACACACACACACAGACACACACACAGACACACACACAGACACACACACAUACACACACACAUACACACACACGCACACACACACACACACACACACACACACACACACACACACACACAGACACACACACAUACACACACACAUACACACACACGCACACACACACACACACACACACACACACACACACACACAGACACACACACACACACACACACACACACACACACACACACACACACACACACACACACACACACACACGCCCACCUAGCGAAGGAUAGUCGAUGCCGGGGCCGUCUGAUCGUGUUGGAAGCGGCUUUCCUGCUGAAAGGUUCUAUAGAGCCCCCACAAGCACGUACGCACGCACGCACAAACGCACAGACACACACACUCCCCUUUCACAGCAGAGUGCCUUGAACAGUUUCAAAGCCAACUCAAAUUUUAAUGACUUCCUUGGACCAGGAACCAAAGUCUGUUCAUUUGUCUUAACCGUAACCCCACGUCAGUCCGCCAUCUUGUUUUAUUAAUGCAGUCUAUAGUGAUGAAUAAAUGGAUACGGCUGUUUGUAGUCCAUAGAAACAACAACCUCCCGUUGUACUUCCAAGUGCUAGCCAUGAUUUUUAUGUUUUUCUUGUUGUUGGUGUUAUUCAAAUCAACCUCAAGAAAAAUAUCAAAUAUGAAACUUGAACAGAUUCUAUAAUCAGAGACUAUAUUGUUGGCAAAUGGUUGACAAUUAGUGUGGGAGUGAUCAUAGUGUUUUUUUAGGAAGAGCAGUCAAGCUGUCUAUUGCUGGAGAAUAUCUGCCAACUACUAAAGUCUAACACUCCCACAUUCACCAUCUUUCAUCUCACACACACACGCACACGCACACACGCACGCACACACACAUACACACAGUCCCUUAAGGUGUUUGUGUUUCUGCUGGGAGGUUUUUAGUUAAAGUCCCACCCCAUUGGCUGACGCAGCAUGCAGUGUUUCCCUAUGUGCAUUCAAUUUAUGCAUUUAUUGCCCUUAUUGGGGCACACCUGCCCAUUUACAAGGCCUUUGAUGUCUGAUGAGACUGCAGGUGGCAACCAUUGCCUGGCUUCCUCUCGUUAGGAAACCAGAGGGUAAAUAGCGAUAAAUAGGUUUGUUUGCAAGUGGGCUUGAACAAGCAACACUGUUCUCUUCUCAACUCUUAAACCACUGGCCUCUUCUUCUUUUUUUACUGUGCUUAAGAGGAGUGUGAAGGGUUUUGCAAUAACAAAUCACUGCAGUGCAUUUUCAACCUCCCUCCCAACGGAAAGGUUGCACUACCAGUUCUGAGUUCUGGGUAUGCCUUGUGUUUGUAUAGCGACGCUGUCUGAGCCAGUCACAGCUGGAUUAGGUUGUCUAGAGCACCCAAUGGUCAAUACACACACACACACACGCACUCGUGCGCACACACACACACACACAGAGGGCUGAGAUGUUUUAGUCUCUCGAUGGGUGUAGUCUUUUGCCGACAUAACAUUUGAUGCUGCAAUUUACCCUACAUGGUCCGCAACCUUAUUUAACACCAAGGCUGUUCAAUGACGCAAUGAGAGGUUCCUCUGUUGGAGCAACAUGUGAUGGGAAGCGUCAAUUCAUAUGUUGAAACCGUUUGACCACUUGAUAACAAAGAUAUUUCUGUUACAGAUCGUCUUCUGACUCUGCCUGUAGCAAGAGCUCUUGCAUGCAUUGACCCCAUGGACACACCAUCUAUAAACCAACAUCGGAAGAACAUCUUUGUGUUUGUACUGUUUGGCUGUGUGUGUGUGUGUGUGUGUGUGUGUGUGUGUGUGUGUGUGUGUGUGUGUGUGUGUGUGUGUGUGUGUGUGUGUGUGUGUGUGUGUGUGUGUGUGUGUGUGUGUGUGUGUGUGAGCAUGUGUGUGUGUGUCUGUUUUCUGAAAGGCUUCCCCACAAUGAAUUGACCUCACUAUCUUUAGCCCCGCAGAAGGUUGGUUAAUGGCCCUUGCUCUUACCACAUCCAUUAACCUGUUACGCAACACAGGGGCCAUGAUGGAAAGUCCUAUCUUCUGACCCUCUGCAAGACUUUCAGAUUCAACUCACACAUACACACACCCAUGCACACACACACACACAAACUGACGCAUACACUAUCUGACUCGAUUCAUUGUUGCUCUGUGUCAGUGAACCAUGUGCUGAAAGUCUUUCAGUAACAAGCCCAGAGCUCGUCAUUACCCUGGAAACAGGUUACCGAGGGCUCAACUCGAUGGUGGAACUGCUCUGCCAGGAUGGGGGUGUGCCCGCGCACGGGGCGUGUCCCCAUGAACUGGAUAAAAGUGGGCCCGGCCUCCGAGAGACGGCGGCGGGAGAUUUGAUUUGUGUUUUGCUCUGAUUGUCAAGACCAGUUUUGAUUCAUGCUUUUCACGCAAUUAAAACAAGAAAGGUGGAUUGUGGAUAGUCUCCUGCCCCGUUUCUUUGUUUUACGUCUGAGCCGCGUAACAGGAGGUUUGGGAAGAACUUCCCGAAGAAUUUAUCUGAGAGGUCAAGGGAUCAGCGGAGGUCAAAGAUCAAAGUUCCACGAGUCUCCGUCUAGCAGAGAAAAUACAGGAACCCGCUUGUGCUGCCAACAAGCACACACUGAACUCCUUCAACCAAUUGCAGUUUUUUGGUUUCAAAGGUUAAAUCUGGCCUAAAAAUGUUUUGACAUAAGGUCGUCGGAUUCGAUACCAGAACAACAUUCACGAUCUUUGUUUGUUGAAUAUUAACAAUUAACGGUUUGAACAAGAUGAACAUGCACGGUGGGGUUUGAUCCAGUUAAGAACCCACGUCAUAUGCCUUCUCAUAAACGUUGGGUUGGCUUUCAUUAGCAAGUUCAACACGUGUGGCUGAUUUGGAUCUUUAUUGGGUUGUUUCACGCAAAAGGCUGCAAAACACAAUCUUAUUAUCAAAAUUAACGUUUUGUUAUAGGAGUUCCAAACAGAGACGGCAUUUCUGUUCAUUAUGUUAGCCAUCCUCUUUAACCCUGCCCUUGUAUACACAGGCUUGAAGGGGGCCCCCAAAAAAACACAGUUUGGAUUAGUCACAAGGUAAUGGGUUGGGACUGCACUGCAAUCUGACCUUACAAAAAAUAAAAAUACUGCUUUUCUUAUUGUAUGUAUACCAUUAAACUACUGUUGUGAAGGAAUCAGUGAAGAUUACGCUUGAUGGUGUGGCUCGGAUUUGGAAAAAUGGUCCUCAAAUAAUCUCUGUGUCAUUGUUGAUUUGCCUCCAACCACAUUAGACGGAACAACCAGACCAGCAAACAGGAUGUUUGAUAUCAUCUCGGUAAUAGAACAGAUGUAUACUCUUGAUGGGUUACGUUGUGGUGAUUUCUUAGCAGCCUAAGCUUCUUUGGGGAGGCAAUCUGACCCUAGUAGCCCCUGGAGUCCAUCUGUACACACUAACCCAGGCACUUAUAGAGCCACAGUGGCAGUGACCACCAUGGCAAUAAAACACCCCACAUCUUAGCAGAAGCCAUACCUGUAUCAUUCACAUUUAGAGCAUUUAGCAGAGGCUUCGAUCCAAAGCGAUUGACGCUGAGUAUAUUUGUCAGAAGAAGAUAAACAAUAUGUCUCUGUCGGCACAGUAAAGAUGUUCAUAGAACCAAGUGCAAAGCGCUAACAAUUUGUAUACAACAACGCUAGCUAGGAUAAGAUUCUACACAAUGCCAAGUACCAUUUUUUUACCAGUGACGGGGCAUGGCAGUGGUGGAGUGUUAUCACUUGGCACCAUCAUCGUAUCCAUGCUAUCAUUGACGUGAAUCACCAGAGCACUUUAACCUGAUGAGCAAAGGAGCGUUUCCUUUGUAGUUGUAUGAGCCAACACAGCCCAGUCACCUGUUUCCCAAUCCACCCAAUCCCCCCCGCACACCCGCCCACCCAGUCCAAUGAUUGGUUCAUCCGUGUGGCCCACCCAGGACAUGACACGAGGACCCACAAGACCUGUCUUGCUUCUCUCAGACUGCAUGGCUCCUGCAGUACAUCCUAGUCAUUCUGCAACCACCAGCGCUAUUAUUAUUUCAGCGAUUACAGUGACUAUGGCACAUUGGCCGGCUGCCUAGAACUGCCAGCGCAUCCAAGUAAGGAAAGUAGUAAUUCCUUCCUAUCAAUAGUGGCUUAGUCUGCAGCCCACAGUUCUACCUUUAUCGUUUCAGGAAACAUGAGAUAAUUGCUAAACUAAAUAAGUUUUCUUUCUUUUAAAACCAUGAAGAAGUGCAUGCAACUAAACACUUUCAUCGCUUCUGCCACAUUAUUAAUUAUGAUAUUAUUUCUUAAGACUUCUUCGUAAAGUACACUGCUCCUCCUAAAUGAUGACAGACUUCUUUGUAUAAAGAAGGGCUGGCUUCCCGUUAGUUCUCUUUAUCCGCAGCCGGAGACCCUGUGCUGCUUACGUUCUGCCAUGACAGACCGUGAGUUCCCAGAAGCAGGCUCAGGCCUCGCCAAUAGAGAGCCAGCCGCACUGUUGAGUGUGGGACAACGGAACACAUUAGCGUGUCACUGAAAUGAAUCGAUGUCUGGUGGUUUGUUUGGUCUGCUAGGGCUGGGAACAGAGUUUCAGAGUUUCAGUUGCGGAAAGUGUUUGAAAGGUUGAAAUCCCUUUGCCUGAAUGAUUACAUAGAUAUCCAUGUUGCUAACAUGUUGAAUGCUUGUUUCGAAGAAAGACAGCACCUGGCCGUACAGCAGGUGAUUAUUAUUAUUUGAGGUAUCUGCAGAGUAGGAUAAUUUGCAGAAGUAAUCACAGUAUUUGUACUGAAGUACUAGUGUAGUAUUAGAAGUAGGCCUAAUACAAGCAACAGUAGUUAAUAGUAGUAGUAGUAAAAGCACUGAUCAAAGUACUGAGUAGUAAUAGUAGUAGUAAUAACAUUUUAGUGUAUUGCCCUUAUAAUGUCUUCUCAUUAUAUUAUAUUGCUCUUAUUUUAUAUAGCAUUAUCAUUACAUUGUAGUCUUAUGAUAUUCUAUUCUCAUUAUAUUAGAUCCUCAUGGAGCGCUGAUGUGACUAAAAUAGGUAUUUCAAAAAACAAGCCAGACGUGACUGGAAUAUGGCCGCUCAGGGCAGGACCUCCUCCAUAAAUCAAAAUGAUUUUCUGUACUUGCGGGAGCGCUAAGGUCAACCAUCCAAACAAGUUGAUCCUAAUCUAUUGGCUCACUGACUCAACGUUCUAUUUCCAUGUAGUGUGUAUCUGCCUUUCCCUAAUCUUCUUUACCCUGUGUGCGCGUGUGUAUUUGUGUGUGUGUGUGUGGCUGAGUAGUAUAUUUAUAUAUUUUGUGUGUGUGUGCAUGUACAUUUGUGUGUGUGUGUGUGUGUCUGUGUGUGUGUGUGUGUGUGUGUGUGUGUGUGUGUGUGUGUGUGUGUGUGUGUGUGUGUGUGUGUGUGUGUGUGUGUGUGUGUGUGUGUGUGUGUGUGUGUGUGUGAGUCUGAGUAGUAUAUCUUUUAUGUUUUCUCCGUGUGCGUGUUGGUGUGUGUGAACGCGUGUGCAUGCUGACAGUUGGCCGUCGCCAUGGCAACCCAAGAGUGUGCAUGCAGAGGGGAGCAGACGUGUAAAGGAGCUGCACAUUAACUGUUCAAAUGUGUGAUUCCAGGCUUCACACUUGGCCGAUGAUAUCAAGAAGUCAUUAUCACCUCCCAGCAUGGAGGAGGAGGCAGGAGUGGCAAGCCGUCCAGGCCCUGGUGCCUUCUCCCCACCCGAGGCUGAUACGGUUAACCAUUCAUCUCUUGUUUAUCUUCAAUUACCUCAAGGUCAUCAUCAUUGGGAGGCACGGCAUAAGCCCGGAGUUCAUAGGACAGAUAGAGAGGGGAGAUGAGGGGGAUGAGGGGGAUGAGGAAGACGGAUAAGAUGAGUGGGUUCAAGCAUGGCCAGAAUGUGUACGCUUCAAACGUUGGUGUUUGAAGGUAGAAAAGUCUCAACGUCAUAUUAAACUAAACAACUAUUUAACCGAACAAGGAUGGUUUCUUAAAGAAUAACCAAGGAAUCGUUGACACUGGCAAUUAGCUUUUAUGUGUCCCGCAGCUUACUUUAGGUAAAGUCAUCGUUAUUGUGAAAUUUACAUAUUUGUAGGUUUAUUUUUUCUAUGCAUUAUGGGGGUAAAAUAUAAAUGUAUGCAGUUUUCAUAAAUACGAAAACAGAACCAUAACCCAGUUGCUCUCUCCGGCCUUCAACACCAACAACACAUCAAUAGAGGUGGACUUAGUUCAGGGGGAAAUUGCGCCAGUCAGCCAAUCAGCCAAUUGUUAGAGGAUGAAAGGGAGCAUGGGGUCGACAUGGCAACCAGUCAGCUGGUCCCCGUCCAGCUGUCUGCGAGCUGUUGGACUGUUUCAUGGCGACCGCCAGGCUAUAGGAAUGCUUUGGCUUACCAGAGCCCCCCCGGUCCCACACACACACACACUCACAUACAUCCGGGCAUGUUUGCAUGGACGUACACAUGCACACACAUACUCCCGCACACACAUAUGCAUGCCAACACACACACACAGAAACACUCAUAUAUUCAUACACACUCAUUCACACACACACACACACACACACACACACACACACACACACACACACACACACACACACACACACACACACACACACACACACACACACACACACACACACACACACACACACACAUACACAUACAUAUAUACACACACACACACACAUGCACACUGUGGUGAUAUGACUUGUUUAGCAGACAGCCAACCCCCACACUGCAUUCAGUCAUUCAGUGAAUGGACAAAGACCGACCACCAGAACAGCAACCGGGUGCAAAAUAUUUUAAAGCUACACUACUAUUUGUUUUGGAGCAGCAACAUUUUUCUCUUGAAAAAUCUGCUGUUUUAAGGUCCCAAUGUGCUAGAUUUAGACUAUGGUUAACUUUGUUAAACAACGUUUAAUAAUGUUAAAUAACCAAUUUGCAAAGUCCUUAUCUGCGAUUGUUCCAUAAUGAGGCAAAAAUGAUCAAUAAUCAACUUCAAUGUGUUGGACAUUCCCCUUGUCUUUAGCAAAGUUCAUCCGCGUCGCUGUACAGAGAUGGUCGAGGCAGCUGCCAUUGUGUGUUCUGAGGUAAGAUACCUUAGGUAACUCUGAAAGACUUAUCAGGCCUUAGUACAGCAUGCAUUUCUUCUUUCUUGAAACGGGGAUAUGGACAUUAACAUUACAGAGGGUGGAAGAGACUGCCAUACAAUUAGUUUCAAAUUAAUGGACAACUUUUUGGCAGAGUCCACCUCGACUCUGCAUAGCCACCCUCCCCCUUCUGGCCACCAUUGUAUACUGUAUUGCAUUGUGUUGUAUUGUAUUAUAGCACUUAACUGUGUAGCAACUGCAGUAGCUGCUAUCAUUUCUGUAAGACGAGGAAUUGGUUAGCCUAGCGAUUGUUGUACUUGCACUUGGUUCUAUGAACAUCCUUUCUGUACCGACAGCGAUAUAUUGUUGCACUUCUUAUGACAAAUGUACUUAUUGUAAGUCGCUUUGGAUAAAAGCGUCUGCUAAAUGCCCUAAAUGUAAAUGUAAAUGUAAAUAU